UAGCGAAGCUCUUGAUCGAAGCCCGAGUAAACGGCGGCCGUAACUAUAACGGUCCUAAGGUAGCAAAAUUCCUUGUCGGUUAAAUACCGACCUGCAUGAAUGGCGUAACGAGAUGGGAGCUGUCUCAAAGAGGGAUCCAGUGAAAUUGUAGUGGAGGUGAAAAUUCCUCCUACCCGCGGCAAGACGGAAAGACCCCGUGGACCUUUACUACAGCUUGACACUGCUACUUGGAUAAGAAUGUGCAGGAUAGGUGGGAGGCUUUGAGUAUAUGACGCCAGUUGUAUAUGAGCCAUUGUUGAGAUACCACUCUUUCUUAUUUGGGUAGCUAACCAGCUUGAGUUAUCCUCAAGUGGGACAAUGUCUGGUGGGUAGUUUGACUGGGGCGGUCGCCUCCCAAAUAAUAACGGAGGCUUACAAAGGUUGGCUCAGAACGGUUGGAAAUCG
This 444-nucleotide ribosomal RNA is filed under the name Campylobacter jejuni. Its description in RNAcentral is "bacterial LSU rRNA". It matches the Rfam family "Bacterial large subunit ribosomal RNA", at positions 1897 to 2340 of the family's 2925-position model. The record is from RNAcentral. Lineage: Bacteria; Pseudomonadati; Campylobacterota; Epsilonproteobacteria; Campylobacterales; Campylobacteraceae.